AGCACGGAGCUUGCUCUGGUGGCGAGUGGCGAACGGGUGAGUAAUAUAUCGGAACGUACCCUGGAGUGGGGGAUAACGUAGCGAAAGUUACGCUAAUACCGCAUACGAUCUACGGAUGAAAGUGGGGGAUCGCAAGACCUCAUACUCGUGGAGCGGCCGAUAUCUGAUUAGCUAGUUGGUAGGGUAAAAGCCUACCAAGGCAUCGAUCAGUAGCUGGUCUGAGAGGACGACCAGCCACACUGGAACUGAGACACGGUCCAGACUCCUACGGGAGGCAGCAGUGGGGAAUUUUGGACAAAGGGCGAAAGCCUGAUCCAGCAAUGCCGCGUGAGUGAAGAAGGCCUUCGGGUUGUAAAGCUCUUUUGUCAGGGAAGAAACGGUGAGAGCUAAUAUCUCUUGCUAAUGACGGUACCUGAAGAAUAAGCACCGGCUAACUACGUGCCAGCAGCCGCGGUAAUACGUAGGGUGCAAGCGUUAAUCGGAAUUACUGGGCGUAAAGCGUGCGCAGGCGGUUUUGUAAGUCUGAUGUGAAAUCCCCGGGCUCAACCUGGGAAUUGCAUUGGAGACU
Molecule: ribosomal RNA, 568 nt
Filed under: uncultured Janthinobacterium sp.
Lineage: Bacteria; Pseudomonadati; Pseudomonadota; Betaproteobacteria; Burkholderiales; Oxalobacteraceae
Description: bacterial SSU rRNA
Rfam family: Bacterial small subunit ribosomal RNA
Source: RNAcentral